UGCCAGCCAGCCGCGGUUAUACCACUCAGUGACCCAAAUUAAAUAAAGAAAGCUAAAAAGGUGGUUAGGUGUAGUAUUAGUGGGUAGGCUUGUAAUUUGAAAAGUUUAUGGGUGUAAUCUGGAGACUAAAAUAAUUCUUACUCAAGCAACUGAUUGAAGCCACGUGACUUAGAAUCAAGGACCGGGAUUAGAUACCCCGUUACUCUAAGCGUUAAGUAAGUUGAAAAUUGUUACUAGUCUGCUGGGCAACUAUGUCUAAAUGGGUCAAAGUCGAAGUACUUGGCGGUCUAGAAAACCCAGCUCGCGAGACUUGACGAUUAAACCGAUGAUCCGCGUGAAACCUUACUUGUUCUCGAAUCUUAUCAGUUGGUGUAUGGUCGUCGUAAGUUUGUGCUGUCAGGGUCUUAAAGUAGUUCGAUUACGGUCGAUCUUAGUUGUAAAGAAACAAGCAAGAAACGUUUUAAUUUUUUAGGGUGUGCUAUUUUUUAAAUUCGUAGUAAGUCAGAUCGUUAUGCUGCCUAUGAACAAGGUUUAGUUGAGUCACAAUGUGUAGGUAUUGUAAUACGGAAGUUUAUUUGAAAUAGUAGAUGGAAGAAGGAGUGGGUAGUAAUAAUAAAUUAGUACGUUAUUAUGAAUAGAGAACUUCUAGGUGUACAAAUCGCCCGUCGCCCCCGAGGUGACUUGGGGGUAAGUCGUACU
This 699-nucleotide ribosomal RNA is filed under the name Asperarca secreta. RNAcentral describes it as "partial 12S ribosomal RNA". It matches the Rfam family "Microsporidia small subunit ribosomal RNA", at positions 391 to 1275 of the family's 1311-position model. The record is from RNAcentral. Lineage: Eukaryota; Metazoa; Mollusca; Bivalvia; Arcoida; Arcidae.